RNAcentral lists this long non-coding RNA (789 nucleotides) under Parus major (Great Tit). Its description in RNAcentral is "lncRNA (ENSPMJG00000002246.1)". Lineage: Eukaryota; Metazoa; Chordata; Aves; Passeriformes; Paridae. The record is from RNAcentral.
CGUCCGCCUUGUUCAGGUAAACCACGACGUGCUGGACACCCACCUGUGCAGGUGAGACAGGUGAGUCACACCUGAACCUGAACCUGAACCUGAACCUGGACCUGAACCUGGGUCCGGCACCGCAUUCACCUUGUUCAGGUAAACAACAACGUGCUGGACACCCACCUGUGCAGGUGAGACAGGUGAGGGGUCACACCUGAACCUGAACCUGAACCUACACCUGAACCUGAACCUGGGUCUGAACCUGAACCUGAACCUGAACCUACACCUGAACCUGGGUCUGACACCGCAUUCACCUUGUUCAGGUAAACCACGACGUGCUGGACACCCACCUGUGCAGGUGAGACAGGUGAGACAGGUGAGGGGUUACACCUGAACCUGAACCUGGAUCUGAACCUGAACCUGGAUCUGAACCUGGACCUGGGUCUGACGCUGUUCACCUUGUUCAGGUAAACCACGACGUGCUGGACACACCUGGACAGGUGAGAUUGGACAGGUGAGACACACCUGAACCUGAACCUGGGUCUGAACCUGGAUCUGAACCUACACCUGGAUCUGGCACCGCGUUCACCUUGUUCAGGUAAACCACCACGUGCUGGACACACCUGGACAGGUGAGAUUGGACAGGUGAGUCACACCUGAACCUACACCUGAACCUGGACCUGAACCUGGACCUGAACCUGAACCUGGAUCUGAACCUACACCUGGACCCAACCCCCAACAGCUCCGGGUCCGGCACCGCGUCCGCCUUGUUCAGGUAAACAACGACGUGCUGGACACACCUGGACA